Molecule: long non-coding RNA, 1448 nt
Filed under: Phoenix dactylifera (date palm)
Lineage: Eukaryota; Viridiplantae; Streptophyta; Magnoliopsida; Arecales; Arecaceae
Description: long non-coding RNA (PDAC_LNC002117)
Source: RNAcentral
UUUGUGUUUGAGGUAUAACAAGAAGGUGUUACUUGACUUAUAACUAAACUCAGGUCAAAGAAAAGAUUUCAACAGAGAAAAAGAAUAAAUUCUACAAUCCUAGCAAUCUGUAGUAUUAGAUCUAAAUUACACCUUAAAUUGGAUGCUUGAGAUUGGGAUUACAAGAACAAUAUGGUGGACUGUGGAUCUAUGAUCAGAUUAGUCCCAAAAGAUAAAUAAACAACAGGAAGUAAAGAAGAAACAACAGAAAGCCUGGACAGAGAAUAAAAGAACAGAGUAUAUAAGAGGAUAAGAAUAAAUGGAGAUAAAUAGAAGGAGAGGAAGGGCAGCCAAGCCUGGCUGUAUCUUAAUACUUUUUCUCUACAAAAUAAUUCAUGAUCAAAUCCUCUAACCAGCCAAUUAACUCUAGAAGCCCCCACCCUUUCUACUUUUAAGUCCAGCUACAAUAAUGGAAUAAAAAGAAAACACCCCUGUCGUGCUACAGUAUUCGCCAUAGUAAUGUGCUGUGGUACAUGCUACAGUAAAUAUAUAAAAGACUUUCCAUCAGGUGCCAAUUGCUUUCCUAACUGAAUAUAGUUCGGCUAAUCAAGAGACCCUCUAAACAAUUAAACUACAGAAAGUCAAAGCAGUGACCAUUCUUAGCCAUUGAAUGAAGAUUUGGAAGUAUUCUGCUCUGAUCUUGGUUCCAAAGCCUGGAUAAGGUCCUAAAUCCAUUCUCGAUCAAUUGGCCUCACAGUCAAGUUCAUCCAUGGUCUAACACAGCAAGCUAAAGGUACCAUUGGUUGGUUCUUUCAUUCCCACAAGUGACCAUAAUGCACCUUAAAGUAUUUUCUUUGCUCCUUACCACCAUUGCACCUGCCUUCAGGUUUUAAAAACCUUUCCUCCACGGAAAUUGCAUUGCCUUCCUUUUGCACUUGUUUGACAUACAAAUUUGUGGUCAUUGUCCUUUUGAUAAACAAGGGCAUCGACAUAUUUACUUUCCACCAGUGGUACCUUUUAACCCACUGAAACUAUAACUAGAAAUAUAAACGACAAUACAGCAAAUUGACAACUAAACUUAAAUCUAAGACAAUCCCAAGUCAUGUGGCCCACUGAUGCAUCAUCAGAUGAUCUGGGACCUCUAUCAUGAAUCCUUUCAGCUCAUCUUCCCAUGUUAGCCCUAUCCAUUUAAAUCAUCCACCAUCUAGUUUUUUAUGUCUAUUUGAGUAAUGGUGUCAUUGAAUACAGUGGAAUAGUUAAAGGGGGUCUACUAUCUAUUCCAUUGCUUGUUCUCUAGUUGGUAGGGCCUGACUGAAAAAGGGUGAUGGAUGAUCUAACAGAACCUGGAGGAACUACUAGAUGGAGUGGAUCCUAACAUGGGAGCCUCAUGCAUCUGGGCAAAAUGGAAUAGUGAAGAAGUUAGAUAUUCCUUCCUCCCCCCAAAACACCCACAAACACACACACACCCC